RNAcentral lists this ribosomal RNA (434 nucleotides) under uncultured bacterium. RNAcentral describes it as "partial 16S ribosomal RNA". It matches the Rfam family "Bacterial small subunit ribosomal RNA", at positions 29 to 507 of the family's 1533-position model. The record is from RNAcentral.
AGCGAACGCUGGCGGCAGGCCUAACACAUGCAAGUCGAACGAACCUUUCGGGGUUAGUGGCGGACGGGUGGGUAACACGUGGGAACGUGCCUUUAGGUUCGGAAUACCUCAGGGAAACUUGUGCUAAUACCGAAUGUGCCCUUCGGGGGAAAGAUUUAUCGCCUUUAGAGCGGCCCGCGUCUGUUUAGCUAGUUGGUUGAGGUAAUGGCUCACCAAGGCGACGAUCAGUAGCUGGUCUGAGAGGAGGAUCAGCCACAUUGGGACUGAGACACGGCCCAAACUCCUACGGGAGGCAGCAGUGGGGAAUCUUGCGCAAUGGGCGAAAGCCUGACGCAGCCAUGCCGCGUGAAUGAUGAAGGUCUUAGGAUUGUAAAAUUCUUUCACCGGGGACGAUAAUGACGGUACCCGGAGAAGAAGCCCCGGCUAACUUCGUG